GGUAGUGUGGCCAAGUGGUCUAAGGUGCUGGAUUUAGGCUCCAGUCUCUCAGGAAGUGUGGGUUCAAAUCCCACCACUGCCA
Molecule: non-coding RNA, 82 nt
Organism: Epinephelus moara (kelp grouper)
Lineage: Eukaryota; Metazoa; Chordata; Actinopteri; Perciformes; Serranidae
Source: the annotation of a RefSeq genome assembly